AAGAAUAGAACCGGUCUGGGUUUUCAGCAAGGUUCAUCAACUGCUAGAUCAGAGGAUAUGCAACUUAGCUUCCGUAGCGGAGGGUUCAUUCAUGGCAAUGAACAACACUUAGCUGCAGUGCUAGAGGAUGACGAAGAAGAUGACUACACCAAUUUUAUAACGCAUGGAAAGGCUUGCAACAAUUGGACUGCUGUUGAUAUUCAUGUU
RNAcentral lists this long non-coding RNA (207 nucleotides) under Lathyrus oleraceus (garden pea). Its description in RNAcentral is "Pisum sativum (pea) long non-coding RNA (PSAT_LNC006151)". Lineage: Eukaryota; Viridiplantae; Streptophyta; Magnoliopsida; Fabales; Fabaceae. The record is from RNAcentral.